CGUGAAGGAUGUACAAAAGAGACGAAAUGGGGUUGAAUGGAAUUCACUUAUACUUGACGAUGCCCUAUUUUUAUUGCUUUUAAAAGUAUCUAUUACAUGUAUCAAUACGAUUUUUUUUGCACAUGUACAUAUAAAUUUAGCAGACCCGGUCAUUUUGUAUUUCACAAGACAAGUUAAAUGAAGGAAAUGAUCAUAUACAGUAUAUUUGGCAUGUCAAGGGACAAACGGAUGAAGCAAAUAAAACAGACAGAAAAAAAUCAAACCAUAGAAACUGGGGGCA
RNAcentral lists this long non-coding RNA (280 nucleotides) under Mytilus galloprovincialis (Mediterranean mussel). Lineage: Eukaryota; Metazoa; Mollusca; Bivalvia; Mytilida; Mytilidae. The record is from RNAcentral.